RNAcentral lists this small RNA (518 nucleotides) under Pan troglodytes (chimpanzee). Its description in RNAcentral is "retained intron". The record is from RNAcentral. Lineage: Eukaryota; Metazoa; Chordata; Mammalia; Primates; Hominidae.
GGGCAGGCGACCCAGGAAAGGGUUUGGAGUGAGGCUGUGAGCACUUACUUGAUAUUUUACAAGUUUGGAUUUGGUGUUUUUUUCCUUGUCCGUUUUUUCCUGUUGACUAACGGCUCCUCUUUUCCUUGUUUUUGUUUUUUUUUUUGUUCUUUUUUUCCAUGUCACUAAAGGCCCUCGGGACCAAGGAUCACGUCAUGACUCCGAACAGGAUAAUUCAGACAACAACACCAUCUUUGUGCAAGGCCUGGGUGAGAAUGUUACAAUUGAGUCUGUGGCUGAUUACUUCAAGCAGAUUGGUAUUAUUAAGACAAACAAGAAAACGGGACAGCCCAUGAUUAAUUUGUACACAGACAGGGAAACUGGCAAGCUGAAGGGAGAGGCAACGGUCUCUUUUGAUGACCCACCUUCCGCUAAAGCAGCUAUUGACUGGUUUGAUGGUAAAGAAUUUUCCGGAAAUCCUAUCAAGGUCUCAUUUGCUACUCGCCGGGCAGACUUUAAUCGGGGUGGUGGCAAUGGUC